RNAcentral lists this ribosomal RNA (316 nucleotides) under uncultured bacterium. Its description in RNAcentral is "bacterial SSU rRNA". It matches the Rfam family "Bacterial small subunit ribosomal RNA", at positions 28 to 334 of the family's 1533-position model. The record is from RNAcentral.
GGCGAACGCUGGCGGCGUGCCUAAUACAUGCAAGUCGAGCGGACCGAAGGGAGCUUGCUCCUUUAGGUUAGCGGCGGACGGGUGAGUAACACGUGGGCAACCUGCCCUGCAGACUGGGAUAACUUCGGGAAACCGGAGCUAAUACCGGAUAACACCGAAAACCGCAUGGUUUUCGGUUGAAAGGCGGCAUUAGCUGUCACUGCAGGAUGGGCCCGCGGCGCAUUAGCUAGUUGGUGAGGUAACGGCUCACCAAGUCAUUGACGCGUAGCUGUACUGAGAGGUAGAACAGCCACAAUGGGACUGAGACACGGCCCAU